UAUUAUUAUCGAGGGUGUGACGGAGAAGGAUAGUGUGUGCUAGCGAUUGGAAAUGCUAGUCUAAGCGUUUAGGGAGUCACAGUAGGCAAAUCCGCUGUAAUAAUUCUAAGGCGUGAUGGGGAAGGUCAUUAAGACCGAAGUACAUGAUUCCAUGCUUCCAAGAAAAGCAUCUAGAGAGAGAAGUAGUGCCCGUACCGCAAACCGACACAGGUAGAUGAGGAGAGAAUCCUAAGGCCGGCGGAAGAAUUGCAGUUAAGGAACUAGGCAGAUUGACCCCGUAAGUUCGCGAGAAGGGGUGCCUGCGAGAGCAGGCCGCAGAGAAUAGGCCCAAGCAACUGUUUAGCAAAAACACAGGUCUCUGCUAAAGCGUAAGCUGAUGUAUAGGGGCUGACGCCUGCCCGGUGCUGGAAGGUUAAGGGGAACACUUAGCGCAAGCGAAGGUGUGAACUUAAGCCCCAGUAAACGGCGGCCGUAACAAUAACGGUCCUAAGGUAGCGAAAUUCCUUGUCAGGUAAGUUCUGACCCGCACGAAUGGCGUAAUGACUUGGGCACUGUCUCAACUGCAAAUCCGGCGAAGUUGUAGUGCGAGUGAAGAUGCUCGCUACCCGCGAUUGGACGGAAAGACCCCGUAGAGCUUUACUGUAGCUUAGCAUUGAAUUCCGGUAUUGUCUGUACAGGAUAGGUGGGAGACUAGGAAACUAGGGCGUCAGCCUUAGUGGAGUCAACCUUGGGAUACCACCCUGACAGUACUGGGGUUCUAACAGGACGCCAUGAAGCUGGUGACUGGACAUUGUUAGGUGGGCAGUUUGACUGGGGCGGUCGCCUCCUAAAAAGUAACGGAGGCGCCCAAAGGUUCCCUCAGAACGGUCGGAAAUCGUUCGUAGAGUGCAAAGGCAGAAGGGAGCGUGACUGCGAGACCUACAAGUCGAGCAGGGACGAAAGUCGGGCUUAGUGAUCCGGUGGUACCUCGUGGGAGGGCCAUCGCUCAACGGAUAAAAGCUACCUCGGGGAUAACAGGCUGAUCUCCCCCAAGAGUCCACAUCGACGGGGAGGUUUGGCACCUCGAUGUCGGCUCGUCGCAUCCUGGGGCUGUAGUAGGUCCCAAGGGUUGGGCUGUUCGCCCAUUAAAGCGGCACGCGAGCUGGGUUCAGAACGUCGUGAGACAGUUCGGUCCCUAUCCGUCGCGGGCGUAGGAAAUUUGAGAGGAGCUGUCCUUAGUACGAGAGGACCGGGAUGGACUGACCUCUGGUGCACCAGUUGUUCUGCCAAGAGCAUGGCUGGGUAGCUAAGUCGGGAAGGGAUAAACGCUGAAAGCAUCUAAGCGUGAAGCCCCCCUCAAGAUGAGAUUUCCCAUAGCAUAAGCUAGUAAGACCCCUUGAAGAACACAAGGUUGAUAGGUCAGAGGUGGAAGUGCGGUAACGUAUGUAGCUGACUGAUACUAAUAGGUCGAGGGCUUGACU
This 1460-nucleotide ribosomal RNA is filed under the name metagenome. RNAcentral's name for it is "bacterial LSU rRNA". It matches the Rfam family "Bacterial large subunit ribosomal RNA", at positions 1453 to 2925 of the family's 2925-position model. The record is from RNAcentral.